Drosophila melanogaster (fruit fly) is the source of this 1494-nucleotide non-coding RNA. NCBI's taxonomy places the organism in Eukaryota, Metazoa, Arthropoda, Insecta, Diptera, Drosophilidae. The record is from Ensembl.
GUCCAUUAAGCCGCCAGAGCUUUGCUUGCUGACUUUGCCAUCCUUUCGCCACCGCCCCUGCCACUCCCCCUGCAGGACAUGGACAUGGACACAUGUGCAAUGGCCGCACACACAAACACACAUGCAAAGUGUUGUGUAAACAAGUCAGCUGCCAGUUGGCUGGGCGCUGCAGGCGGGGCUCACAGUAGGGGAAGAGCUAGAAGAUGAAGAAGGAGCUUAUCCAGAAGGAACGGCCAGCGGAAAUCAAGGUGCCACGCCCCCUUUUAGACACGCCCACCAGCGUCCAAUUGUGCUUUGUUUGCUACCCGCUGGCAGGAGCUGACCAAACCACCUUGACCCAUUGUCGUCGUAGGUUGGACUCACCUUGAAACUCCUUGCGCGCUGCACUCACUGACGUCACAAUGUUGGCCACGUGCCCCAGUACCGUGGCGAAGAGCAUCAGGCCAAAGAGCAGCUGCAGGAUAACAAAGACGUACUCGCCCUUGGAGCGCGGCUUGGGAAGAUCCCCGAUGGUGGUCAGGGCCAGGGUGCACCAGUAGUAGCUCUGCAGAUACUGCUUGACCACGUCCGCCGACUCCGAGUCGUGGUAGACCCAGUUGCGUGAUCCGAACCCAUUGUUCUUGUGUAUGAUGUGGUAGAGACAACCGUUCCAAUGGAAUAUCACAAGCAGGUAGUGGAUGAGGGCCGUGCUCCGGAACAGGUUCGGGUAGUUGGUGUGCCGCUCGGUGCGAUCCAUGAAGGCCCAGAACCGGUAGAUCUUCACCAGCCGGAAGCUGCGCAGGAUCGAGUUAAAGCCGAUGGACAAAUAGAGAAAGUCCAGCGGCAGCAGGCACAGGCAGUCGAUGUAGAAGAUCGUCGAGUUCAUGUAGUGGGUGCGCAGCUUCAAAGCGUCCGUCUGCAGCACCCCGUCCUCCAGGUAUCCGGUGCGAAAGUGGAACAGUAUAUCGAUCAGAUACAGGAAGUCGGACAGGUAGUCCAGACAGAACCAAAUGGCGAUCGUUCGCCGAUUGAUCUCCUGGAAGGCGAAGCGGUAGAUUAUCACCCAGAAGUUGUACAGGAAGGCCAUGGACACCACCAUGGACCAGUAGUAGCACAGUCGCCCCGCCGGAUCAAAGACGAAGUGCAGUUUCCUGGCCGCCGUUGCUGCUCGAAUCCGCUGCGAGGCCGUUCGUCGUGGUUUCUGGUGGUGCGGCUGGCCACCAUGAGAGCCUGGUCCACUGCCUCCCCCACUGCCGGCGCCACCGUGGUGCGGGUGAUGCGGAUGGCCGCCGUGGGGGGGUCCCGGCCCACCAGGGCCACCCUGCGAGGGUGGACCGUGUGCGUGCGGGUGGUGCGACACCGUGGAUGCCGAGUGCUGCAGCUGGUAGGGGUGGUGCGCCUGCUGGGCGGCAUUGUGGUGCCCCUGCUGCUGCGAUCGGGAGCGCGGGUAGCUAUAGAAUCGGAAAAAUAAAUAAGAAUAAUGUCAGAUAUACUUGUAUUCGACUCUCAUAUUAG